This 785-nucleotide long non-coding RNA is filed under the name Ricinus communis (castor bean). RNAcentral's name for it is "long non-coding RNA (RCOM_LNC002030)". The record is from RNAcentral. Lineage: Eukaryota; Viridiplantae; Streptophyta; Magnoliopsida; Malpighiales; Euphorbiaceae.
CGUGGCUUUGGAAUCCCAUUUUGGGGAUUAUAUAUUUUAACUAAAACACAAGUGAAAUGAUCCACAUUUUAGCAUCAAGAGAAACCAUAUAUUUCACUCUCUUAAGGCUCCUAGCACAAAUUCAGAGAGAGAGAGAGGAGAAUAAUACAAAGUAAUCAAUUGAGUUCAAAAGAGAAAAACAAAGAAAAAAUUCCAUGUUAAUAAGUUAAUAUGCAUAAUAGAAAAGAUAUCAUGAACCCACUACACUCGAGCAUUCAUAUAACACACAAUUUGUCCUAAAUCAACAUUUAACUAAGCCAAAAAGAAAACAACAACAACAACAACAACAUAACCUUUUAUUAGGACAUUAGUUUAAAUCAAAAAACUUAACAAAAAAAAAAAUAGCGUCAAAAUUGAAAAAUCGAGACCACAAAAUCUUCAAAAAGUGAGAAAGAUUUAAAAUUUGUAGCAUAAGAGACAUUCAAACUGAAACAUCAAAGUAAACCUAUCCAACCCAGUUCACUAAACAAACUUAAAACCCCAAAUUUAAAGAGCGAGCCUAAGGAAUAGAAGCUAGUAAAGCAAAACCCAACUAAAAAUUAAAUCCAAGAGUUCAAAAAAAAAAAAGAACACGUACCAACAGUGACUUCAAAAUCAAUUAUGAUAAUGAAAAUCAGAGAUGGGAGAGAAGGCUAGAUGGUAGGUAUUUCGGUGGUGGAAGCAGUUGAUGUGUGAACUGACAGAAAUGGCGGGAAAUAUCGAGAUUAGGGUAAAGAACUCGGAUCAGUAUCAGGUUCGGAUCAAAU